UACGUAGGGGGCAAGCGUUGUCCGGAAUCAUUGGGCGUAAAGCGCGUGUAGGCGGUUCGAUAAGUCUGCUGUGAAAGUCCAGGGCUCAACCCUGGGAUGCCGGUGGAUACUGUCGGGCUAGAGUGCGGAAGAGGCGAGUGGAAUUCCUGGUGUAGCGGUGAAAUGCGUAGAGAUGUGGAGGAACACCGAUGGCGAAGGCAGCCUCCUGGGCCAACACUGACGCUCAUGCACGAAAGCGUGGGGAGCAAACAGG
RNAcentral lists this ribosomal RNA (253 nucleotides) under uncultured bacterium. RNAcentral describes it as "partial 16S ribosomal RNA". It matches the Rfam family "Bacterial small subunit ribosomal RNA", at positions 524 to 776 of the family's 1533-position model. The record is from RNAcentral.